RNAcentral lists this ribosomal RNA (155 nucleotides) under uncultured bacterium. RNAcentral's name for it is "partial 16S ribosomal RNA". It matches the Rfam family "Bacterial small subunit ribosomal RNA", at positions 355 to 509 of the family's 1533-position model. The record is from RNAcentral.
UGGGGAAUAUUGCACAAUGGGCGCAAGCCUGAUGCAGCGACGCCGCGUACGGGAUGGAGGCCUUCGGGUUGUAAACCGCUUUUGUUCAAGGGCAAGGCACGGUCUUUGGCCGUGUUGAGUGGAUUGUUCGAAUAAGCACCGGCUAACUACGUGCC